Molecule: long non-coding RNA, 371 nt
Organism: Pungitius pungitius (ninespine stickleback)
Lineage: Eukaryota; Metazoa; Chordata; Actinopteri; Perciformes; Gasterosteidae
Exons: 3
Source: RefSeq, a predicted model, not a curated record
CAAGAGGAGAGGGCUGUGGUGUCUUCACUCCUCGUUCCAGCACUCAUCUACCUGGAUGUUCAUGAUGUCAUCCUCCCGAGAGGCUUGCCGUGCCAAGCCUUGUUUUUUUUUUUUUUUGCAGGCGACAAAAAAAAUGAAGACAGAAAAGAAAGCAGAACUAAAGCGCGUUUGCACUUUUUUCCUAUGACCAUUCCUGUACUCAGAUGCUGGGUUACAUCACACAGAAAUGACGAUUCCUUUUUUUUUCGGCUCACCUCUGGCCCGUGGGGUUGUAGAUCUCGUUGCUCUGGCAACCGCUUAUCGUGAUGGGGUCGAACGACUGGAAGGAGCGCAGUCCUACCCCGGAGAUGGCCACCAGGCGAGAGGCAAAC